RNAcentral lists this ribosomal RNA (191 nucleotides) under uncultured bacterium. RNAcentral's name for it is "partial 16S ribosomal RNA". It matches the Rfam family "Bacterial small subunit ribosomal RNA", at positions 338 to 519 of the family's 1533-position model. The record is from RNAcentral.
CCUACGGGAGGCAGCAGUGGGGAAUAAUGGACAAUGGGCGCAAGCCUGAUCCAGCAAUGCCGCGUGUGUGAAGAAGGCCUUCGGGUUGUAAAGCGCUUUUGUCAGGAAAGAAGUCGUGCUGGUUAAUACCCGGCGCCGUAAUGACGGUACCGUAAGAAUAAGCACCGGCUAACUACGUGCCAGCAGCCGCG